CAUGCAAGUCGAACGGUAGCACAGAGAGCUUGCUCUCGGGUGACGAGUGGCGGACGGGUGAGUAAUGUCUGGGAAACUGCCUGAUGGAGGGGGAUAACUACUGGAAACGGUAGCUAAUACCGCAUAACGUCUUCGGACCAAAGUGGGGGACCUUCGGGCCUCACACCAUCGGAUGUGCCCAGAUGGGAUUAGCUAGUAGGUGGGGUAAUGGCUCACCUAGGCGACGAUCCCUAGCUGGUCUGAGAGGAUGACCAGCCACACUGGAACUGAGACACGGUCCAGACUCCUACGGGAGGCAGCAGUGGGGAAUAUUGCACAAUGGGCGCAAGCCUGAUGCAGCCAUGCCGCGUGUAUGAAGAAGGCCUUCGGGUUGUAAAGUACUUUCAGCGGGGAGGAAGGCGAUAAGGUUAAUAACCUUGUCGAUUGACGUUACCCGCAGAAGAAGCACCGGCUAACUCCGUGCCAGCAGCCGCGGUAAUACGGAGGGUGCAAGCGUUAAUCGGAAUUACUGGGCGUAAAGCGCACGCAGGCGGUCUGUCAAGUCAGAUGUGAAAUCCCCGGGCUUAACCUGGGAACUGCAUUUGAAACUGGCAGGCUAGAGUCUUGUAGAGGGGGGUAGAAUUCCAGGUGUAGCGGUGAAAUGCGUAGAGAUCUGGAGGAAUACCGGUGGCGAAGGCGGCCCCCUGGACAAA
Molecule: ribosomal RNA, 692 nt
Filed under: Erwinia billingiae
Lineage: Bacteria; Pseudomonadati; Pseudomonadota; Gammaproteobacteria; Enterobacterales; Erwiniaceae
Description: bacterial SSU rRNA
Rfam family: Bacterial small subunit ribosomal RNA
Source: RNAcentral